This 50-nucleotide non-coding RNA is filed under the name Trypanosoma brucei brucei. Lineage: Eukaryota; Euglenozoa; Kinetoplastea; Trypanosomatida; Trypanosomatidae. The record is from RNAcentral.
AUAAAAUGUAUUUGUCGACGAGUUAAAUGGAUGUAGAAGAUAUCAGUGAU